This 87-nucleotide transfer RNA is filed under the name Desulfosalsimonadaceae bacterium. Its description in RNAcentral is "tRNA-Leu". It matches the Rfam family "tRNA". Rfam says of the family: Transfer RNA (tRNA) molecules are approximately 80 nucleotides in length. Lineage: Bacteria; Pseudomonadati; Thermodesulfobacteriota; Desulfobacteria; Desulfobacterales; Desulfosalsimonadaceae. The record is from RNAcentral.
GCCGGAGUGGUGGAAUUGGUAGACGCAGAGGACUCAAAAUCCUCCGUUCGCGAGAAUGUGCGAGUUCAAGUCUCGCCUCCGGCACCA